UUUAGCUGGUCAAGCUAAAACCAACCUGACCAGUUUAGGCUGGUUUUAGCUGUAUUUUUCAGCCGGGAAUUUCCUGUACGUUUCAUUUACAUUAUCUUUUUGCUUUUAAAGUAACAUAUGCUGAAUUCGGAACCACAUAAUAGGCUACUACUCAUACUACCUUUAUCACAUAUUUCUGUGGCAGAAAUAGUGAGAGCAGUAUGCUAGUAUGCGUUUCAGAAUUCAGCAUGAGCCUACUUUUUUUUUACACAAUAAGUAGUCGGUGAGCUUUUGUUUUGAGAACCGCUGAGCUCGGACGGGAAAAUCGGAGUGAUUCAUUGAAAAGAUCCGAUUCAAAAGAACAGUUCUUUCACAUCGCGGGAAUUUCUACAAGUUGGAAACUCCCACCGUGUGGAGGGAUUUGUGAUGUCGUGAUAUAUAAAAAGGAAAUCGGCACACGUUGGCUGACACAGCUGUAAGCAGGACCAACAUUCCUCCUGGACAUCCCAGUACUGGACAUCCGUAGUGAAUCAUGUCUGGAAUCGGCUUUCUGAAGAUAUACUUCAUCGGAACUGCAUUUUCUCUUCUGGUGGCUUUGUUUGGACUGGUUGAUUCAGUCGGGGGCCUAAUGUUUCCUCAAGGAUCCUACUGUGCAGACGACAGCUGGACAGAGAAACAUCCCCCCGUGUCUCCAUCUCGGACUGCUGCUGCUGCCAACAACAAACGCAUCGGGUCGAGAUGAUCUGGAUCUUCUCCACCGCCAUCGGUGACCAGUCUUUAAUUGCACUAGGAGAAAUAAUUAAGGUUACUGACCUACUAAAACCUAAAAUUGGAAUUGUUUCCUCCAUUACACUACUGUGAGCUGUGUGAAUCAUGUGAAAUAUGAGACCAUAUGAAGAACACCGAUGAUGGCUUCUGGUACUACAGAUAUGAGAUGCAAAAUCUUCACCUUUUUUACUUGUUAUUCUGGUUUCUGCAAAGAACUUGUCUGACUUUAUGAAAAACUCUUAAGGCAGUAAAAAGAGGGAUUGAAAGCUUAAUAGCUACUACAAACAUGAUACAUGAACAUGCUGGACUGCUGUAAAAUAUUGAAAUCCCAUGUGAUCAAAAUUAUUAGUAUGUUUUUAUUGUUUGCUCCUUUUACACUGUUUAUAUGACUACAUUUGUAACACCUAGACUGUUAAAAUCGUUGUUGGUUUUUUUUCACUUUGAGAAAUUGAGGCAUUAGGCUGCAGGAUUUGGUUUUAUUUUGUUUUUUAAAACUUGCACUUUUUUCUUUUUCUUGCAUUGUGGGUUGAGGGUCUGAAAGAUAUGAGCAGCCAAACAAAAUUGUUACUGAAACUAUCUGUUUUAUAUGCAACUGAAUAAAAAUAUGUACGUUAACACUCUUUAUCACUGUAGCAUGCUGGUUUUAUGCAUUAAAGGUUUGAUAAACUUUUUAAA
Molecule: long non-coding RNA, 1422 nt
Organism: Megalobrama amblycephala (Wuchang bream)
Lineage: Eukaryota; Metazoa; Chordata; Actinopteri; Cypriniformes; Xenocyprididae
Exons: 2
Source: RefSeq, a predicted model, not a curated record